Molecule: non-coding RNA, 57 nt
Organism: Biomphalaria glabrata
Lineage: Eukaryota; Metazoa; Mollusca; Gastropoda; Planorbidae
Source: Rfam
UAGCUGAGCGAUAAAGCGCCUGGCUUCUGAACCGGCGGCCCCGGGUUCGAAUCCUGG